This is a non-coding RNA of Myodes glareolus (Bank vole), 74 nucleotides long. The record is from the annotation of a RefSeq genome assembly. Lineage: Eukaryota; Metazoa; Chordata; Mammalia; Rodentia; Cricetidae.
UGGGGAUGUAGCUCAGUUGGUAGAGUACUUGCCUAGUACGCAUGAAGUCCUGGGUUCAAUUCCCAGCACCACAU